Long non-coding RNA from Xenia sp. Carnegie-2017, 114 nucleotides. RefSeq lists it as uncharacterized. NCBI's taxonomy places the organism in Eukaryota, Metazoa, Cnidaria, Anthozoa, Malacalcyonacea, Xeniidae. The record is from RefSeq and is a predicted model, not a curated record. The transcript is spliced from 2 exons.
AAACAGAGAAGAAGAAUCGUGUGUUAUGCCUGAACUAUGCAAAGUGGAUCAUUUUUACACUUCAUGGGGAAAUUGGAGUGCGUGUAACGCCACUUGUGGUUAUGGUACUAAACA